AAGGGUAGCAAUACCUGAGUAAAGUGGCGCACGGGUGAGUAACACGUGAAUUAUCUACCUCCGAGUGGGGAAUAACUGAGAGAAAUCUUAGCUAAUACCGCAUAACACUUACGAGUCAAAGCAGCAAUGCGCUUGGAGAGGAGUUCGCGGCCGAUUAGUUAGUUGGCGGGGUAAUGGCCCACCAAGACGAUGAUCGGUAUCCGGCCUGAGAGGGCGCACGGACACACUGGAACUGAAACACGGUCCAGACUCCUACGGGAGGCAGCAGUGGGGAAUUUUGCGCAAUGGGGGAAACCCUGACGCAGCAACGCCGCGUGGAGGAUGAAAUAUCUUGGU
RNAcentral lists this ribosomal RNA (336 nucleotides) under uncultured bacterium. RNAcentral's name for it is "bacterial SSU rRNA". It matches the Rfam family "Bacterial small subunit ribosomal RNA", at positions 72 to 422 of the family's 1533-position model. The record is from RNAcentral.